GGCGAACGGGUGAGUAACACGUGGGCAACCUGCCCUCAGCUCUGGGAUAACUCCAAGAAAUUGGUGCUAAUACCGGAUGUGACCGCUGACCGCAUGGUCUGGUGGUGGAAAGAUUUAUCGGCUGAGGAUGGGCCCGCGGCUAUCAGCUUGUUGGUGGGGUCACGGCCCACCAAGGCGACGACGGGUAGCCGGCCUGAGAGGGUGACCGGCCACACUGGGACUGAGACACGGCCCAGACUCCUACGGGAGGCAGCAGUGGGGAAUAUUGCGCAAUGGGCGAAAGCCUGACGCAGCGACGCCGCGUGAGGGAUGACGGCCUUCGGGUUGUAAACCUCUUUCAGUAGGGACGAAGCGCAAGUGACGGUACCUACGGAAGAAGCACCGGCCAACUACGUGCCAGCCGCCGCGG
Molecule: ribosomal RNA, 409 nt
Filed under: uncultured bacterium
Lineage: Bacteria
Description: bacterial SSU rRNA
Rfam family: Bacterial small subunit ribosomal RNA
Source: RNAcentral